AAUAUUGGACAAUGGGCGCAAGCCUGAUCCAGCCAUGCCGCGUGAGUGAUGAAGGCCUCAGGGUUGUACAGCUCUUUCACCGGUGAAGAUAAUGACGGUAGCCGGAGAAGAAGCCCCGGCUAACUUCGUGCCAGCAGCCGCGGUAAUACGAAGGGGGCUAGCGUUGUUCGGAAUUACUGGGCGUAAAGCGCACGUAGGCGGAUUGGUCAGUUAGGGGUGAAAUCCCAGGGGUCAACCCUGGAACUGUCUUUAAUACUGCCAAUCUUGAGUACGAGAGAGGUGAGUGGAAGUCCGAGUGUAGAGGUGAAAUUCGUAGAUAUUCGGAGGAACACCAGUGGCGAAGGCGGCUCACUGGCUAGAUACUGACGCUGAGGUGCGAAAGCGUGGGGAGCAAACAGG
This 399-nucleotide ribosomal RNA is filed under the name uncultured bacterium. RNAcentral's name for it is "partial 16S ribosomal RNA". It matches the Rfam family "Bacterial small subunit ribosomal RNA", at positions 360 to 776 of the family's 1533-position model. The record is from RNAcentral.